GCGUGGGGGAGGACGGCCUGUGGGUUGUAAACCGCUUUUCUCAGGGAAGAACACAAUGACGGUACCUGAGGAAUCAGCCUCGGCUAACUCCGUGCCAGCAGCCGCGGUAAUACGGAGGAGGCAAGCGUUAUCCGGAAUGAUUGGGCGUAAAGCGUUCGUAGGUGGCAAUUCAAGUCUGCUGUCAAAGACAGUAGCUCAACUACUGCAAGGCAGUGGAAACUGAAUAGCUAGAGUGCGGUAGGGGCAGAGGGAAUUCCCGGUGUAGCGGUGAAAUGCGUAGAGAUCGGGAAGAACACCGGUGGCGAAAGCGCUCUGCUGGGCCGCAACUGACACUGAGGGACGAAAGCUAGGGGAGCGAAUGGGAUUAGAUACCCCAGUAGUC
Molecule: ribosomal RNA, 382 nt
Filed under: uncultured cyanobacterium
Lineage: Bacteria; Bacillati; Cyanobacteriota
Description: bacterial SSU rRNA
Rfam family: Bacterial small subunit ribosomal RNA
Source: RNAcentral